Molecule: long non-coding RNA, 435 nt
Filed under: Chinchilla lanigera (long-tailed chinchilla)
Lineage: Eukaryota; Metazoa; Chordata; Mammalia; Rodentia; Chinchillidae
Description: lncRNA (ENSCLAG00000022551.1)
Source: RNAcentral
UGGGAAGAAGCUGGAGAGAGGGAGGUCAGGAAGAGAACAUGGAGUCAGGAAGAGAUGGAGAGGGAAAACGAUGUGACACGCCACCAACUUACCACGUUUGCACAUUCGCCAGCUGCUGUGACAGGACUCUCACGGACGGACGGCGCUCAGCCCAUCGGUCAGGCCUGACUCUCAGACACAGCGACAGAUUAAGAAAUCUAUUUCACCGUUCAUUGUAAUAAGAGGAAUUGAAAAUCUAUCUGUGAUGGGAGCAUGGUGGUUUUAUUUAUUUUAACAGUUAAAAAGCAUGAAAGACACCUGAUGCAAAGAGUAUGGGGCGCAGUGGAAAUGACCACAGUGUGAGUGAUUAUUGUGCCUUUUUCUCUAUGGUUGUGUGUCCUUGCUGAAUGAGUCCCAGGUGCAGGCACCGUUGGGAGCACUUUGCUUACACAAUCC